AUGGUUAAGUUAGAAAGGGCGCACGGUGAAUGCCUUGGCACUAGGAGCCGAUGAAGGACGGGACUAACACCGAUAUGCUUCGGGGAGCUGUAAGUGAGCUUUGAUCCGGAGAUUUCCGAAUGGGGAAACCCACUGUUCGUAAUGGAACAGUAUCUUUAUCUGAAUACAUAGGAUAUUGAAGGCAGACCCGGGGAACUGAAACAUCUAAGUACCCGGAGGAAGAGAAAGCAAAUGCGAUUUCCUGAGUAGCGGCGAGCGAAACGGAAUUAGCCCAAACCAAGAGGCUUGCCUCUUGGGGUUGUAGGACACUCUAUACGGAGUUACAAAGGAACGAAGUAAAUGAAGCGACCUGGAAAGGUCCGUCAAAGAAGGUAACAACCCUGUAGUUGAAACUUCGUUCCCUCUUGAGUGGAUCCUGAGUACGGCGGAACACGUGAAAUUCCGUCGGAAGCUGGGAGGACCAUCUCCCAAGGCUAAAUACUACCUAGUGACCGAUAGUGAACCAGUACCGUGAGGGAAAGGUGAAAAGCACCCCGGAAGGGGAGUGAAAGAGAUCCUGAAACCGUGUGCCUACAAGUAGUCAGAGCCCGUUAAUGGGUGAUGGCGUGCCUUUUGUAGAAUGAACCGGCGAGUUACGAUCCCAUGCAAGGUUAAGCUGAUAAGGCGGAGCCGUAGCGAAAGCGAGUCUGAAUAGGGCGUUUAGUAUGUGGUUGUAGACCCGAAACCAGGUGAUCUACCCAUGUCCAGGGUGAAGUUCAGGUAACACUGAAUGGAGGCCCGAACCCACGCACGUUGAAAAGUGCGGGGAUGAGGUGUGGGUAGCGGAGAAAUUCCAAUCGAACCUGGAGAUAGCUGGUUCUCUCCGAAAUAGCUUUAGGGCUAGCCUCAUGUUGUGAGAGUCUUGGAGGUAGAGCACUGAUUGGACUAGGGGCCCCCAACGGGUUACCGAAUUCAGUCAAACUCCGAAUGCCAAAGACUUAUCCAUGGGAGUCAGACUGCGAGUGAUAAGAUCCGUAGUCAAAAGGGAAACAGCCCAGACCACCAGCUAAGGUCCCCAAGUAUACGUUAAGUGGAAAAGGAUGUGGAGUUGCUUAGACAACCAGGAUGUUGGCUUAGAAGCAGCCACCAUUUAAAGAGUGCGUAAUAGCUCACUGGUCGAGUGACUCUGCGCCGAAAAUGUACCGGGGCUAAACGUAUCACCGAAGCUGUGGAUUGACAUCUU
This 1222-nucleotide ribosomal RNA is filed under the name Priestia megaterium. RNAcentral's name for it is "bacterial LSU rRNA". It matches the Rfam family "Bacterial large subunit ribosomal RNA", at positions 1 to 1216 of the family's 2925-position model. Lineage: Bacteria; Bacillati; Bacillota; Bacilli; Caryophanales; Bacillaceae. The record is from RNAcentral.